RNAcentral lists this ribosomal RNA (189 nucleotides) under Beggiatoa leptomitoformis. RNAcentral describes it as "partial 16S ribosomal RNA". It matches the Rfam family "Bacterial small subunit ribosomal RNA", at positions 523 to 711 of the family's 1533-position model. The record is from RNAcentral. Lineage: Bacteria; Pseudomonadati; Pseudomonadota; Gammaproteobacteria; Thiotrichales; Thiotrichaceae.
AUACAGAGGGUGCAAGCGUUAAUCGGAAUUACUGGGCGUAAAGCGUGCGUAGGUGGUUAAUUAAGUCAGAUGUGAAAUCCCUGAGCUUAACUUAGGAACUGCAUAUGAUACUGGUUGACUAGAGUGUAGUAGAGGGUAGUGGAAUUCCACGUGUAGCGGUGAAAUGCGUAGAUAUGUGGAGGAACAUCA